RNAcentral lists this ribosomal RNA (230 nucleotides) under uncultured bacterium. RNAcentral's name for it is "partial 16S ribosomal RNA". It matches the Rfam family "Bacterial small subunit ribosomal RNA", at positions 561 to 791 of the family's 1533-position model. The record is from RNAcentral.
UAAAGCGUGCGCAGGCGGUUUGUAAGACUGUCGUGAAAUCCCCGGGCUCAACCUGGGAAUGGCGAUGGUGACUGCAAGGAUAGAGUUUGGCAGAGGGGGGUAGAAUUCCACGUGUAGCAGUGAAAUGCGUAGAUAUGUGGAGGAACACCGAUGGCGAAGGCAGCCCCCUGGGUCAAAACUGACGCUCAUGCACGAAAGCGUGGGGAGCAAACAGGAUUAGAUACCCCAGU